This 253-nucleotide ribosomal RNA is filed under the name uncultured bacterium. RNAcentral describes it as "partial 16S ribosomal RNA". It matches the Rfam family "Bacterial small subunit ribosomal RNA", at positions 524 to 776 of the family's 1533-position model. The record is from RNAcentral.
UACGUAGGGGGCAAGCGUUGUCCGGAAUCAUUGGGCGUAAAGCGCGUGUAGGCGGCUCGAUAAGUCUGCUGUGAAAGUCUAGGGCUCAACCCUGGGAUGCCGGUGGAUACUGUCGAGCUCGAGUCCGGAAGAGGCGAGUGGAAUUCCUGGUGUAGCGGUGAAAUGCGCAGAUAUCAGGAGGAACACCAAUGGCGAAGGCAGCUCGCUGGGACGUGACUGACGCUGAGACGCGAAAGCGUGGGGAGCAAACAGG